This 2955-nucleotide ribosomal RNA is filed under the name Acinetobacter baumannii. RNAcentral describes it as "23S ribosomal RNA". It matches the Rfam family "Bacterial large subunit ribosomal RNA". Lineage: Bacteria; Pseudomonadati; Pseudomonadota; Gammaproteobacteria; Moraxellales; Moraxellaceae. The record is from RNAcentral.
GUUGUAUAGUCAAGUAAUUAAGUGCAUGUGGUGGAUGCCUUGGCAGUCAGAGGCGAUGAAAGACGUGAUAGCCUGCGAAAAGCUCCGGGGAGGCGGCAAAUAUCCUUUGAUCCGGAGAUGUCUGAAUGGGGGAACCCACCUACUUUAAGGUAGGUAUUGCAACAUGAAUACAUAGUGUUGCAAGGCGAACGAGGGGAAGUGAAACAUCUCAGUACCCUUAGGAAAAGAAAUCAAUUGAGAUUCCCUCAGUAGCGGCGAGCGAACGGGGAUCAGCCCAUUAAGUUAUGUGUGUUUUAGUGGAACGCUCUGGGAAGUGCGAACGUAGAGGGUGAUAUUCCCGUACACGAAAGGGCACACAUAAUGAUGACGAGUAGGGCGAGGCACGUGAAACCUUGUCUGAAUAUGGGGGGACCAUCCUCCAAGGCUAAAUACUCCUGACUGACCGAUAGUGAACCAGUACCGUGAGGGAAAGGCGAAAAGAACCCCUGUGAGGGGAGUGAAAUAGAUCCUGAAACCGCAUGCAUACAAGCAGUGGGAGCACCUUCGUGGUGUGACUGCGUACCUUUUGUAUAAUGGGUCAGCGACUUAUAUUCAGUAGCAAGGUUAACCGUAUAGGGGAGCCGUAGAGAAAUCGAGUCUUAAUAGGGCGUUUAGUUGCUGGGUAUAGACCCGAAACCAGGCGAUCUAUCCAUGAGCAGGUUGAAGGUUGGGUAACACUAACUGGAGGACCGAACCCACUGUCGUUGAAAAGCCAGGGGAUGACUUGUGGAUAGGGGUGAAAGGCUAAUCAAGCCUGGUGAUAGCUGGUUCUCCCCGAAAGCUAUUUAGGUAGCGCCUCGGACGAAUACCAUAGGGGGUAGAGCACUGUUUCGGCUAGGGGGUCAUCCCGACUUACCAAACCGAUGCAAACUCCGAAUACCUAUGAGUACUAUCCGGGAGACAGACUGCGGGUGCUAACGUCCGUAGUCAAGAGGAAAACAAUCCAGACCGCCAGCUAAGGCCCCAAAAUCAUAGUUAAGUGGGAAACGAUGUGGGAAGGCAUAGACAGCUAGGAGGUUGGCUUANNNNNNNNNNNNNNNNNNNNNNNNNNNNNNNNNNGAAGCAGCCACCCUUUAAAGAAAGCGUAAUAGCUCACUAGUCGAGUCGGCCUGCGCGGAAGAUGUAACGGGGCUAAAACUAUGUGCCGAAGCUGCGGAUGUAUACUUUGUAUACGUGGUAGGGGAGCGUUCUGUAAGCCGAUGAAGGUGUGUUGAGAAGCNNNAUGCUGGAGGUAUCAGAAGUGCGAAUGCUGACGUGAGUAACGACAAAACGGGUGAAAAACCCGUUCGCCGAAAGACCAAGGGUUCCAGUCCAACGUUAAUCGGGGCUGGGUGAGUCGACCCCUAAGGCGAGGCCGAAAGGCGUAGUCGAUGGGAAAAUGGUUAAUAUUCCAUUACUUCUGUGUAAUGCGAUGAGAGGACGGAGAAGGCUAAAUCAGCCUGGCGUUGGUUGUCCAGGUGAAAGGAUGUAGGCAUGUAUCUUAGGCAAAUCCGGGGUACUCUAUGCUGAGAUCUGAUAGCAAGCUGUACUUGUACAGCGAAGUGGUUGAUGCCAUGCUUCCAGGAAAAGUCUCUAAGCUUCAGUUACACAGGAAUCGUACCCGAAACCGACACAGGUGGUCAGGUCGAGUAGACCAAGGCGCUUGAGAGAACUCUGCUGAAGGAACUAGGCAAAAUGGUACCGUAACUUCGGGAGAAGGUACGCUGUUGUUGGUGAUGGAACUCGCUUCCUGAGCUGACGACAGCCGCAGAAACCAGGCCGCUGCAACUGUUUAUUAAAAACAUAGCACUCUGCAAACACGAAAGUGGACGUAUAGGGUGUGAUGCCUGCCCGGUGCUGGAAGGUUAAUUGAUGGGGUUAGCGUAAGCGAAGCUCUUGAUCGAAGCCCCAGUAAACGGCGGCCGUAACUAUAACGGUCCUAAGGUAGCGAAAUUCCUUGUCGGGUAAGUUCCGACCUGCACGAAUGGCAUAAUGAUGGCGGCGCUGUCUCCAGCAGAGGCUCAGUGAAAUCGAAAUCGCUGUGAAGAUGCAGUGUACCCGCGGCUAGACGGAAAGACCCCGUGAACCUUUACUGCAGCUUGACACUGAACUUUGACCUUACUUGUGUAGGAUAGGUGGGAGGCUUUGAAGCUGGAACGCUAGUUCCAGUGGAGCCGUCCUUGAAAUACCACCCUGGUAAUGUUGAGGUUCUAACUCUGUCCCGUGAUCCGGGACGAGGACCGUGUCUGGUGGGUAGUUUGACUGGGGCGGUCUCCUCCUAAAGAGUAACGGAGGAGUACGAAGGUGCGCUCAGCGUGGUCGGAAAUCACGCGUAGAGUAUAAAGGCAAAAGCGCGCUUAACUGCGAGACCCACAAGUCGAGCAGGUACGAAAGUAGGUCUUAGUGAUCCGGUGGUUCUGUAUGGAAGGGCCAUCGCUCAACGGAUAAAAGGUACUCUGGGGAUAACAGGCUGAUACCGCCCAAGAGUUCAUAUCGACGGCGGUGUUUGGCACCUCGAUGUCGGCUCAUCUCAUCCUGGGGCUGAAGCAGGUCCCAAGGGUAUGGCUGUUCGCCAUUUAAAGAGGUACGCGAGCUGGGUUUAGAACGUCGUGAGACAGUUCGGUCCCUAUCUACCGUGGGCGCUGGAAAUUUGAGAGGAUCUGCUCCUAGUACGAGAGGACCAGAGUGGACGAACCUCUGGUGUACCGGUUGUGACGCCAGUCGCAUCGCCGGGUAGCUAUGUUCGGAAGGGAUAACCGCUGAAAGCAUCUAAGCGGGAAGCCUACCUCAAGAUAAGAUUUCCCUAGGACUUUAUGUCCUCUAAAGAGCCGUUCGAGACUAGGACGUUGAUAGGUUGGAUGUGGAAGCAUAGUGAUAUGUGAAGCUGACCAAUACUAAUUGCUCGUGAGGCUUGACUAUACAACACCCAAGCAGUUG